RNAcentral lists this long non-coding RNA (749 nucleotides) under Anas platyrhynchos platyrhynchos (common mallard). RNAcentral describes it as "lncRNA (ENSAPLG00000020156.1)". The record is from RNAcentral. Lineage: Eukaryota; Metazoa; Chordata; Aves; Anseriformes; Anatidae.
GAAAUGAGAAUUUGAGUGUCUGGACCAUUCAAUUUCCCGCAACCCCAGAUCACUUUUUACCCUGCUGAUUGACAUAGCUGAGAUGUCCUCACCAUUGGAGAAGCAAUUAACAAAAUCCCUGACUGGAGUGUAUGAAGCAUCUGUUAUGGAAGUAUAAAAGGAAAAAGUCUGGAAAAAACAUUCUCUGAAAAAAAAGAUCUGUCCUAGGGCAAAAUGCCUUCAGAAAUGUGCCCUGGCCACUGGUGCUGUAAGACAUUGAGGAUGACAGUUACACUGCUACGUCCUGUCGCUUGUACCUUCAGUUCACUGCCAAAGGUGUUUCAUGCUGUGGUAUGGAAGGCCCCAUUUUUCCAGCCAGUUUUCUUGAAGACACUGAUGGAUUUUCAACUUUAAUAUCUUGAGGUGUGGUGAAAGAUAGAUGUCUGAAUUGCUGUUCCUGCUCAGCCUUCACAAAUUUGAUUAAGAUUAAAAAGUUUUAUUCGUACAGAAGAGCUCAGAAUCUCCUAGAAAGGAGCAAGGGUUCUUCUUGUACUUCACAAAACUUCAUUGCUCUGUCUGAAGAGGAAAAAGAAUCAGUUUUACCAAAUGUUUUCUGAAAAGGCUUGUCAAUAUGGUAGUGAGAAGAAGAUGGGAUUUUAAAAAAGAUCAUAACCUUUGAAAAGAAAAUUUGCAUUAAGACUGAAGUUUUGCUAAAACUUGAAGAGAUUCUAUAGCAGGAUUUUUAUGAUUUUCUGUGACAGUUUUAGUAA